GCACCGGCACCUGCACUGGCACUGGCACUGGCACUGGCACGCGCUAUGGCAGAUGAAGUGCAAGUCCUGCCCUCCCCGCUGAAAGGGGGGCAUCCGCCCGCAGUAAAAGCUGGAGGGAAGCGAAUUUCAAAAAAACAAGAAAUUGGCGUCUUGGAGAGACACACCAGAAAAACAGGAUCUGAGAAAACAAGUGCUAUUGUGAAUGUUGCCAAAAUACAGACGAUGGAUGCCCUGAAUGACACACUGGAGAAGGUUCUGAGGUCACAGCUACCCAAGAUGAAGCUCAGCCAUAAAUUUCCAGCAAUAUUGCACACGGCACAUCAAAAACCCAGACCUGCUCUGGAGAAGGUCACUCCAAUGAGAAGGAUCUACAUUAUUCAACAGCCUCGAAAAUGCUAAGCUGGGACGUAAAACACAGCCAUCUGCCCAACUGUCUCCAACAUCUGACAGCUUAGCACAAGGACCAAAACUUCCCUUAGGCUUGGUGCACUUGCUUGGAGCAGGCUCAGCUUGGAGUCAGGAACAAAAGAGAAAGGUCUGUAACCUGACCACCUUACCACUGUUGCCGAUGGAAACAAACAAAUAGAUAUG
Molecule: RNA transcript, 591 nt
Organism: Myotis lucifugus (little brown bat)
Lineage: Eukaryota; Metazoa; Chordata; Mammalia; Chiroptera; Vespertilionidae
Gene: DAPL1
Gene name: death associated protein like 1
Exons: 6
Source: RefSeq, a predicted model, not a curated record